GUAAUAAUCCUGUAGUCGAAAAUGUUGUCUCUCUUGAGUGGAUCCUGAGUACGACGGAGCACGUGAAAUUCCGUCGGAAUCUGGGAGGACCAUCUCCUAAGGCUAAAUACUCUCUAGUGACCGAUAGUGAACCAGUACCGUGAGGGAAAGGUGAAAAGCACCCCGGAAGGGGAGUGAAAUAGAACCUGAAACCGUGUGCUUACAAGUAGUCAGAGCCCGUUAAUGGGUGAUGGCGUGCCUUUUGUAGAAUGAACCGGCGAGUUACGAUUUGAUGCAAGGUUAAGCAGUAAAUGUGGAGCCGUAGCGAAAGCGAGUCUGAAUAGGGCGUUUAGUAUUUGGUCGUAGACCCGAAACCAGGUGAUCUACCCUUGGUCAGGUUGAAGUUCAGGUAACACUGAAUGGAGGACCGAACCGACUUACGUUGAAAAGUGAGCGGAUGAACUGAGGGUAGCGGAGAAAUUCCAAUCGAACCUGGAGAUAGCUGGUUCUCUCCGAAAUAGCUUUAGGGCUAGCCUCAAGUGAUGAUUAUUGGAGGUAGAGCACUGUUUGGACGAGGGGCCCCUCUCGGGUUACCGAAUUCAGACAAACUCCGAAUGCCAAUUAAUUUAACUUGGGAGUCAGAACAUGGGUGAUAAGGUCCGUGUUCGAAAGGGAAACAGCCCAGACCACCAGCUAAGGUCCCAAAAUAUAUGUUAAGUGGAAAAGGAUGUGGCGUUGCCCAGACAACUAGGAUGUUGGCUUAGAAGCAGCCAUCAUUUAAAGAGUGCGUAAUAGCUCACUAGUCGAGUGACACUGCGCCGAAAAUGUACCGGGGCUAAACAUAUUACCGAAGCUGUGGAUUGUCCUUUGGACAAUGGUAGGAGAGCGUUCUAAGG
RNAcentral lists this ribosomal RNA (875 nucleotides) under Staphylococcus aureus. Its description in RNAcentral is "partial 23S ribosomal RNA". It matches the Rfam family "Bacterial large subunit ribosomal RNA", at positions 364 to 1246 of the family's 2925-position model. The record is from RNAcentral. Lineage: Bacteria; Bacillati; Bacillota; Bacilli; Caryophanales; Staphylococcaceae.